Molecule: ribosomal RNA, 481 nt
Filed under: uncultured bacterium
Lineage: Bacteria
Description: partial 16S ribosomal RNA
Rfam family: Bacterial small subunit ribosomal RNA
Source: RNAcentral
AUUGAACGCUGGCGGCAUGCCUUACACAUGCAAGUCGAACGGUAACGGGCCUUCGGGUGCCGACGAGUGGCGAACGGGUGAGUAAUACAUCGGAACGUGCCCGAUCGUGGGGGAUAACGAGGCGAAAGCUUUGCUAAUACCGCAUACGAUCUACGGAUGAAAGCAGGGGACCGCAAGGCCUUGCGCGGAUGGAGCGGCCGAUGGCAGAUUAGGUAGUUGGUGGGAUAAAAGCUUACCAAGCCGACGAUCUGUAGCUGGUCUGAGAGGAUGAUCAGCCACACUGGGGCUGAGAAACGGCCCAAACCCCUAGGGGGGGCAGGGGGGGGGAAUUUGGGAAAAGGGGGGCAAGCCGGACCCGGCCAUGCCGGGGGAAGGAAGAAGGCCUUCGGGUUGGAAACUGUUUUUGGAGGGAACGAAAAGCCUUCUUUUAAAACGGGGGGGUCAGGGCGGACCCGAAAGAAUAAGCACCGGCUAACUACGU